GUUUAGGCAACCUGCAUGGGAAUGGAAAGCCAUUUAGUGAAAAUUGAAAACAAAUGGAUAGACAAUUGGUUAUGGACAAAACGGCCAUCAGCACAAAAUUAUUACUGGAUAGGUUUAACAGACAUAGAGAAUGAAGGAAACUUUACCUGGAACAUCGACAAUACUGUUGCAAGUUACACACAAUGGGCCUCAGGAUAUGGCAAAAUUGCAGAAACUUAUGAUGUAGUAGCCUGGGGAUGGAAAGAUGGAUGGUUCGAUUAUCCCCCGUCGUACAAAUAAGGAUAUAUAUGCCAAAGAAAUUAUUGUCAGAGAAAAAAUCAAGACAACAACGUCAUUACCAGCAGAACCGGCUGGUUGAGAUUUGGCAAUGAAUGUUAUUUCUUUGGAACAAAUGGAGUAGACUGGUUUACGGCUGACGAUGAUUGCAGACAAAGGGGAAGUCAUUUAGCAAAGAUGUACAACAAUACAUUAGAUGAAUGGCUGAUGACGAAAAAACCAUCAGCCCAAUCGUAUUACUGGAUUGGACUAACAGACAUGACAAAUGAAGGACAAUUCAGAUGGACCGUCGAUAAUACUUCCCUUACAUUUUCAAACUGGGCGUCAGCCUAUGGCACAGCGAAGGGGUCGCCAGACAGAUCAGACGUUGUAGCAUGGGGUUGGAGUUCUGGAUGGUUUGAUUAUCCAGCUACAGAUAAAUAUGGAUUUGUUUGUCAAAGCAGGACCUGUGAUGAUGCAAAUUAACAAAGAUCGAAGAAGACAGUUGAAUUACAGUAACUAAAAUUGUGUUGUUGAGUAGUUUGUUAUUAACACUACACAUGUUUUACCAUGUGCGCUCAAAACAAACAAAUCAGAAAGGGUAAUGUUUAAAAUCGAAGACAUCCUUACCUAACAGAGCAUCCUUAAUUUUUAGUUGGUUUCCAUUCGUUUGAUGUGUUUGACCGGUACCUAUACAACACGACAAGCACUUAAUCGCCCCAGGUCGAAAAAAAGGAUGAAUGAGACUAAGCAAAAUCUGCCAUCAACAUCUUAUUCUCCAUGUAACAAACAUAUUAAGAUAUGACAUAAGACAUCGAAUAACGAGGUUCUUGAAUCGGGGCAGGCACAUGAAUUAAGAAUAAACUCAUCAUAGAUACCAGGAUUAAAAUUGCGCCAGACGCGCGUUUCGUCUACAAAAGACUCAUCAGUGACGCUCGAAUCAAAAAAAGUUGAAAAGGCCAAAUAAAGUACGAAGUUGAAGAGCAUUGAGGACCAAAAAUUCCUAAAAGUUUUUGCCAAAUACAGCUAAGGUAAUCCAUUCCUGAGGUAGAAAAGCCUUAGUAUUUCAAAAAUUCAAAGUUUUAUAAUCAGUUAAUUUAUAAUUAUGACCAUAUCAAUGAUAAAUCAUGUCAAAAGAGAAGUGCUGACUUCUGGGCUACUAAACGGGUUAAACUAGUUUCUUUAGAUCACACUCCUACCCAUUUUAAUCUCGAUAAGAAAACUAACUGAAGGUACACAAG
Molecule: long non-coding RNA, 1496 nt
Organism: Mytilus californianus (California mussel)
Lineage: Eukaryota; Metazoa; Mollusca; Bivalvia; Mytilida; Mytilidae
Exons: 7
Source: RefSeq, a predicted model, not a curated record